UCUGUUGAUCAUAGGUAAGGGGAGAUUUCGUUCCCAUUCCGAACACGAUCGUUAAGCCCUAAAUCGCCGAUGGUAGUGCCGCCACGAUAGGAUGCGAGAGUAGGUCGUUGCCAGUA
RNAcentral lists this ribosomal RNA (116 nucleotides) under Puniceicoccales bacterium. The record is from RNAcentral. Lineage: Bacteria; Pseudomonadati; Verrucomicrobiota; Opitutia; Puniceicoccales.